RNAcentral lists this ribosomal RNA (253 nucleotides) under uncultured bacterium. Its description in RNAcentral is "partial 16S ribosomal RNA". It matches the Rfam family "Bacterial small subunit ribosomal RNA", at positions 524 to 776 of the family's 1533-position model. The record is from RNAcentral.
UACAGAGGGGGCAAGCGUUGUUCGGAAUUACUGGGCGUAAAGGGCGCGUAGGCGGCCUGCUAAGUCGAACGUGAAAUCCCUGGGCUCAACCCAGGAACUGCGUCCGAUACUGGUUGGCUUGAAUCCGGGAGAGGGACGUGGAAUUCCAGGUGUAGCGGUGAAAUGCGUAGAUAUCGGGAGGAACACCAGUAGCGAAGGCGGCUCGCUGGGCCACACCUGACGCUGAGACGCGAAAGCUAGGGGAGCGAACAGG